GACGGGUGAGUAACGCAUAGGAAUCUACCCAGUCGUGGGGGAUAACCUGAGGAAACUCAGGCUAAUACCGCAUACGUCCUACGGGAGAAAGCGGGGGCUCUUCGGACCUCGCGCGAUUGGAUGAGCCUAUGUCGGAUUAGCUAGUUGGUAAGGUAACGGCUUACCAAGGCAACGAUCCGUAGCUGGUCUGAGAGGAUGAUCAGCCACACCGGGACUGAGACACGGCCCGGACUCCUACGGGAGGCAGCAGUGGGGAAUAUUGGACAAUGGGCGAAAGCCUGAUCCAGCCAUGCCGCGUGUGUGAAGAAGGCUUUCGGGUUGUAAAGCACUUUCAGCGAGGAAGAAAGCGUGCCGUUUAAUACACGGUACGGACGACAUCACUCGCAGAAGAAGCACCGGCUAACUCCGUGCCAGCAGCCGCGGUAAUACGGAGGGUGCAAGCGUUAAUCGGAAUUACUGGGCGUAAAGCGCGCGUAGGCGGCGUGUCACGCCGGGUGUGAAAGCCCCGGGCUCAACCUGGGAACGGCAUCCGGAACGGGCAGGCUAGAGUGCAGGAGAGGAAGGUAGAAUUCCCGGUGUAGCGGUGAAAUGCGUAGAGAUCGGGAGGAAUACCAGUGGCGAAGGCGGCCUUCUGGACUGACACUGACGCUGAGGUGCGAAAGCGUGGGUAGCAAACAGGAUUAGAUACCCUGGUAGUCCACGCCGUAAACGAUGUCGACUAGCCGUUGGGUCCCUUGAGGACUUAGUGGCGCAGUUAACGCGAUAAGUCGACCGCCUGGGGAGUACGGCCGCAAGGUUAAAACUCAAAUGAAUUGACGGGGGCCCGCACAAGCGGUGGAGCAUGUGGUUUAAUUCGAUGCAACGCGAAGAACCUUACCUACCCUUGACAUCCUGCGAACCCGGAAGAGAUUCCGGGGUGCCUUCGGGAGCGCAGAGACAGGUGCUGCAUGGCUGUCGUCAGCU
This 963-nucleotide ribosomal RNA is filed under the name Chromohalobacter beijerinckii. RNAcentral's name for it is "bacterial SSU rRNA". It matches the Rfam family "Bacterial small subunit ribosomal RNA", at positions 100 to 1060 of the family's 1533-position model. Lineage: Bacteria; Pseudomonadati; Pseudomonadota; Gammaproteobacteria; Oceanospirillales; Halomonadaceae. The record is from RNAcentral.